Molecule: long non-coding RNA, 904 nt
Filed under: Setaria viridis
Lineage: Eukaryota; Viridiplantae; Streptophyta; Magnoliopsida; Poales; Poaceae
Description: long non-coding RNA (SVIR_LNC000868)
Source: RNAcentral
UCAGUGAUGAGCUACCGACGUUUGUGAGCAGGAUGUUAGCCUCCUCAACAACAAAUACUACACAUGUAUAUACAUCGCUGGAGUCCUCGUCAAGUAUUGCCUUGGGCACCUAACCUGUAGCAUCUAUGUCAACAUCAACAAAUUGGAAUAAGCCGUUAGCAUGGAAGGUCACAACAUCAACCAUGUGCUCAGCAUUCACUAUCAUCUUCUCGCCAUCCAAAUACUCUCCAUCUAAGGCUAGUUGUUGCAAUAAGCCACUGUGCAUGCUAAGAUCAAACAAUAUCAACUCAUCCCAAACAACAGUUCAUCGAGUACCUCAUAUAAUUAUCCCAUACCACAACUUUAUGAGACAUUUCCCUAAACAUUUUUCCUGAAUCAAAUGACUCCAAGUUCCAAGUAUGGUGAUGAACAACCAACUUCAAUGAGCAAAUUGUUGGUUACCUGCACAACAACCAAAUUGAUUUCCUCACACCCUUCUAGCUUUGAUGCAGCACGUGCAAGUGACAGCUCCUACAACCAUGGGGCAUCUUCGCCUUCUCUAUCAUUACCAUUGGACAACUCAUUCACAUGAGGCUUUCCAUUUGGUGCAUGGUCUGCACUCACUUAUUGUGGCAUUACAACAAACACUUGAGGGGCAUUAGGUUCAACAACAUCCUGCUGGAGCAAGUAACUGCCGUCACCACUCACCAUGAUCUUCUCACCAUGAACAGAUCCUAAAACAAGCCAUGCAGGUCAAGGUCAUGCCUCGAUUGCUCAUCCCACACUACAACUAUAGGACGCACUUCAUCAAACACCUUGAGUUCAUCACAUUCUGGUGCACUAAAACCACCCUGCUUGCACUUCUGGUCAUCCAUCUCUUGAACUAGUUGUCCCAGUAAGCCACGUGAACUGAAGCCAUCCUACA